GGGGGUAUAGCUCAGUGGUAGAGCAUUCGUCUGCAGAUCGAGAGGUCCCCGGUUCAAACUCGUAUACUCCCU
Molecule: transfer RNA, 72 nt
Filed under: Trichonephila inaurata madagascariensis
Lineage: Eukaryota; Metazoa; Arthropoda; Arachnida; Araneae; Nephilidae
Rfam family: tRNA
About the family: Transfer RNA (tRNA) molecules are approximately 80 nucleotides in length.
Source: Rfam by way of RNAcentral